RNAcentral lists this non-coding RNA (262 nucleotides) under Clostridium sp. 7_2_43FAA. Its description in RNAcentral is "Bacterial large subunit ribosomal RNA". It matches the Rfam family "Bacterial large subunit ribosomal RNA", at positions 2653 to 2912 of the family's 2925-position model. Lineage: Bacteria; Bacillati; Bacillota; Clostridia; Eubacteriales; Clostridiaceae. The record is from Rfam by way of RNAcentral.
GUAGGAAAUUUGAGAGGAGCUGUCCUUAGUACGAGAGGACCGGGAUGGACUGACCUCUGGUGCACCAGUUGUUCCGCCAGGAGCAUAGCUGGGUAGCUAAGUCGGGAAGGGAUAAACGCUGAAAGCAUCUAAGCGUGAAGCCCCCCCUCAAGAUGAGAUUUCCCAUAGCAUAAGCUAGUAAGACCCCUUGAAGAACACAAGGUUGAUAGGUCAGAGGUGUAAGUGUGGUAACAUAUUUAGCUGACUGAUACUAAUAGGUCGA